GCUGGAUGUUGUGAAGAGGGCGGUGUAAUGAAGAGGGGGUAAGGGGUAAUCGGAAUUAGUGGGCGUAAAGCGCGCGUAGGUGGGUGUGUAAGGUGGGUGUGAAAGCCCCGGGCUCAACCUGGGAACUGCAUCCAAAACUGGCAAGCUAGAGUACGGUAGAGGGUGGUGGAAUUUCCUGGGUAGCGGUGAAAUGCGUAGAUAUAGGAAGGAACACCAGUGGCGAAGGCGACCACCUGGACUGAUACUGACACUGAGGUGCGAAAGCGUGGGGAGCAAACAGGAUUAGAUACCCCAGUAGUC
This 300-nucleotide ribosomal RNA is filed under the name uncultured Lactobacillus sp. RNAcentral describes it as "bacterial SSU rRNA". The stretch from base 52 to 300 matches the Rfam family "Bacterial small subunit ribosomal RNA", at positions 547 to 795 of the family's 1533-position model. Lineage: Bacteria; Bacillati; Bacillota; Bacilli; Lactobacillales; Lactobacillaceae. The record is from RNAcentral.